AUUCUGUAGCAAGGUUAACCGAAUAGGGGAGCCGGAGGGAAACCGAGUCUUAAUUGGGCGUUAAGUUGCAGGGUAUAGACCCGAAACCCGGUGAUCUAGCCAUGGGCAGGUUGAAGGUUGGGUAACACUAACUGGAGGACCGAACCGACUAAUGUUGAAAAAUUAGCGGAUGACCUGUGGCUGGGGGUGAAAGGCCAAUCAAACCGGGAGAUAGCUGGUUCUCCCCGAAAGCUAUUUAGGUAGCGCCUCGUGAAUUCAUCUCCGGGGGUAGAGCACUGUUUCGGCUAGGGGGCCAUCCCGGCUUACCAACCCGAUGCAAACUGCGAAUACCGGAGAAUGUUAUCACGGGAGACACACGGCGGGUGCUAACGUCCGUCGUGAAGAGGGAAACAACCCAGACCGCCAGCUAAGGUCCCAAAGUCAUGGUUAAGUGGGAAACGAUGUGGGAAGGCCCAGACAGCCAGGAUGUUGGCUUAGAAGCAGCCAUCAUUUAAAGAAAGCGUAAUAGCUCACUGGUCGAGUCGGCCUGCGCGGAAGAUGUAACGGGGCUAAACCAU
RNAcentral lists this ribosomal RNA (557 nucleotides) under Salmonella enterica subsp. enterica serovar Infantis. Its description in RNAcentral is "partial 23S ribosomal RNA". It matches the Rfam family "Bacterial large subunit ribosomal RNA", at positions 632 to 1190 of the family's 2925-position model. The record is from RNAcentral. RNAcentral also lists the same sequence under 1 other name. Lineage: Bacteria; Pseudomonadati; Pseudomonadota; Gammaproteobacteria; Enterobacterales; Enterobacteriaceae.